UGUUUGGGAAUGCAGCUCAAAGUGGGUGGUAAAUUCCAUCUAAAGCUAAAUAUUGGCGAGAGACCGAUAGCGAACAAGUACCGUGAGGGAAAGAUGAAAAGCACUUUGGAAAGAGAGUUAAACAGUAUGUGAAAUUGUUAAAAGGGAAACGAUUGAAGUCAGUCGUGCGUUGUGGACUCAGCCGGUUCUGCCGGUGUACUUCCACUUCGCGGGGUCAACAUCAGUUUUGCUCGGUGGAAAAAGGCAGGAGGAAGGUAGCACUCUCGGGUGAACUUAUAGCCUUCUGUCACAUACAUCGGGUGGGACUGAGGAACGCAGCAUGCCUUUUGGCCGGGGUUCGCCCACGUACAUGCUUAGGAUGUUGACAUAAUGGCUUUAAACGACCCGUCUUGAAACACGGACC
Molecule: ribosomal RNA, 403 nt
Filed under: uncultured Filobasidiales
Lineage: Eukaryota; Fungi; Basidiomycota; Tremellomycetes
Description: eukaryotic LSU rRNA
Rfam family: Eukaryotic large subunit ribosomal RNA
Source: RNAcentral